GUGGGGAAUAUUGCACAAUGGGGGAAACCCUGAUGCAGCGACGCCGCGUGAUUGAAGAAGUAUUUCGGUAUGUAAAGAUCUAUCAGCAAGGAAGAAAAUGACGGUACUUGACUAAGAAGCCCCGGCUAACUACGUGCCAGCAGCCGCGGUAAUACGUAGGGGGCAAGCGUUAUCCGGAUUUACUGGGUGUAAAGGGAGCGUAGGCGGUCUGGCAAGCCAGAAGUGAAAGCCCGGGGCUUAACCCCGGGACUGCUUUUGGAACUGUUAGACUAGAGUGUCGGAGAGGUAAGUGGAAUUCCUAGUGUAGCGGUGAAAUGCGUAGAUAUUAGGAGGAACACCAGUGGCGAAGGCGGCUUACUGGACGAUAACUGACGCUGAGGCUCGAAAGCGUGGGGAGCAAACAGGA
RNAcentral lists this ribosomal RNA (406 nucleotides) under uncultured bacterium. Its description in RNAcentral is "bacterial SSU rRNA". It matches the Rfam family "Bacterial small subunit ribosomal RNA", at positions 354 to 777 of the family's 1533-position model. The record is from RNAcentral.